AUGCUUUACACAUGCAAGUCGAACGGCAGCGCGGACUUCGGUCUGGCGGCGAGUGGCGAACGGGUGAGUAAUAUAUCGGAACGUACCCAGUAGCGGGGGAUAACUACUCGAAAGAGUAGCUAAUACCGCAUACGCCCUACGGGGGAAAGGGGGGGAUCGCAAGACCUCUCACUAUUGGAGCGGCCGAUAUCGGAUUAGCUAGUUGGUGGGGUAAAGGCCUACCAAGGCGACGAUCCGUAGCUGGUUUGAGAGGACGACCAGCCACACUGGGACUGAGACACGGCCCAGACUCCUACGGGAGGCAGCAGUGGGGAAUUUUGGACAAUGGGGGAAACCCUGAUCCAGCCAUCCCGCGUGUGCGAUGAAGGCCUUCGGGUUGUAAAGCACUUUUGGCAGGAAAGAAAUCGCACGGGUUAAUACCUUGUGUGGAUGACGGUACCUGCAGAAUAAGCACCG
This 456-nucleotide ribosomal RNA is filed under the name beta proteobacterium BAL274. Its description in RNAcentral is "bacterial SSU rRNA". It matches the Rfam family "Bacterial small subunit ribosomal RNA", at positions 44 to 495 of the family's 1533-position model. Lineage: Bacteria; Pseudomonadati; Pseudomonadota; Betaproteobacteria. The record is from RNAcentral.